This is a non-coding RNA of Electrophorus electricus (electric eel), 454 nucleotides long. The record is from RefSeq and is a predicted model, not a curated record. NCBI's taxonomy places the organism in Eukaryota, Metazoa, Chordata, Actinopteri, Gymnotiformes, Gymnotidae.
CAACGAACAGGACUGACCUAAAUGUACACGCGGACAUCGGCAGUGCUGUCGAGGCCUCCCGUGCUCAACAUGUGUCUGCCUCCACUCUGAAUAUAAACCAUUAUACCAACAGGAAGAGUGCAGCAGAGAGCAUGCUUGAUAUAGCACUGUUAAUGGCUAACGCCUCACAGUUAAAGGCAGUGCUGGAACAGGGGCCCCAGUUCAGCCUAUAUACCCCCCUAAUUACACUGAUCAGUGUCUCUCUGUGUCUGCAAAUACUUGUGGGAGUACUACUCAUCCUUGUAGAGUGAGGUCACACUAGAAUGGGAAAAUCUAGCGACUUUGAACAAAGCAUAAGCAUUGGUGCUAGACAAGCCAGGCACAGUAUUUCAAAAACUGCCAACCUUGUGGGGUUUCCUUGUGCGGUGGUGUCGAGUGCAUACCAAGAAAGGUGUGAUCAAAGAAAAACAUUCAG